This is a non-coding RNA of Bombyx mori (domestic silkworm), 84 nucleotides long. Lineage: Eukaryota; Metazoa; Arthropoda; Insecta; Lepidoptera; Bombycidae. The record is from Rfam.
UUAACUGAAAUUUUUAUGGAGUUGUAACGUUUGCCUUUGUUCGCCGCUAGGGGCACUGUUCCAACUGCAUACAAAUUCGAGUUA